GUGGGGAAUAUUGCACAAUGGGCGCAAGCCUGAUGCAGCCAUGCCGCGUGUAUGAAGAAGGCCUUCGGGUUGUAAAGUACUUUCAGCGGGGAGGAAGGCGAUAAGGUUAAUAACCUUGUCGAUUGACGUUACCCGCAGAAGAAGCACCGGCUAACUCCGUGCCAGCAGCCGCGGUAAUACGGAGGGUGCAAGCGUUAAUCGGAAUUACUGGGCGUAAAGCGCACGCAGGCGGUCUGUCAAGUCGGAUGUGAAAUCCCCGGGCUCAACCUGGGAACUGCAUUCGAAACUGGCAGGCUAGAGUCUUGUAGAGGGGGGUAGAAUUCCAGGUGUAGCGGUGAAAUGCGUAGAGAUCUGGAGGAAUACCGGUGGCGAAGGCGGCCCCCUGGACAAAGGCUGACGCUCAGGUGCGAAAGCGUGGGGAGCAAACAGGAUUAGAUACCCCUGUAGUCC
Molecule: ribosomal RNA, 450 nt
Filed under: uncultured bacterium
Lineage: Bacteria
Description: partial 16S ribosomal RNA
Rfam family: Bacterial small subunit ribosomal RNA
Source: RNAcentral